CAGUAGCCGCGGUAAGACAGAGGAUGCAAGCGUUAUCCGGAAUGAUUGGGCGUAAAGCGUCUGUAGGUGGCUUUUCAAGUCCGCCGUCAAAUCCCAGGGCUCAACCCUGGACAGGCGGUGGAAACUACCAAGCUGGAGUACGGUAGGGGCAGAGGGAAUUUCCAGUGGAGCGGUGAAAUGCGUUGAGAUCGAAAAGAACACCAACAGCGAAAGCACUCUGCUGGGACGACACUGACACUAAGAGACGAAAGCUAGGGGAGCAAAUGGGAUUAGAUACCCCGGUAGUCCCUGUCUCUUAUAA
This 301-nucleotide ribosomal RNA is filed under the name uncultured bacterium. RNAcentral's name for it is "partial 16S ribosomal RNA". It matches the Rfam family "Bacterial small subunit ribosomal RNA", at positions 509 to 809 of the family's 1533-position model. The record is from RNAcentral.